CAGUCGCCACGGGAAUACGGAGGGGGCUAGCGUUGUUCGGAAUUACUGGGCGUAAAGCGCACGUAGGCUGCUUUGUAAGUCAGAGGUGAAAGCCCGGGGCUCAACCCCGGAUGUGCCUUUGAGACUGCAGAGCUAGAAUCGCGGAAAGGUAAGUGGAAUUCCGAGUGUAGAGGUGAAAUUCGUAGAUAUUCGGAAGAACACCAGUGGCGAAGGCGGCUUACUGGCUCAUUCUAGACGCUGAGGUGCGAAAGCGUGGGGAGCAAACAGGAUUAGAUACCCCUGUAGUCCCUGUCUCUUAUAU
Molecule: ribosomal RNA, 301 nt
Filed under: uncultured bacterium
Lineage: Bacteria
Description: partial 16S ribosomal RNA
Rfam family: Bacterial small subunit ribosomal RNA
Source: RNAcentral